CCUGGUUACCCAACAGCCGUGGUGAUGGGUUCGCUUUAUUUUCUCUCCCCUGCUUCAACACGGGUCACUGUUGAUGGCCACAGCUGUUUAAACCAAUCACCACUACUGUGGUUGAAAGAUCACAUUAUUAACCCUGAGGAGUUACAGAAUGUUGUGAGAGAAAGAGGAGCAGUGCUAAGGCGAUAAGGGAUGGAUGAAAUCCACGUUGAAUGUUUAAAUUAAAUGAAGAAGCCGGGCGGACGUGGUGGCAUAACCCGUAAUCCCAGCCUCAGGAGGCUGAGGCAGGAGGAUCGCUGUGAGUUCAAGACCAGCUACAUAGCGAGUUCCAGGUCAGUCUCAACUACAUAGUGAGACCCUGUCUCAAAAACAAAAAACAAACAGACAAAACAAUUAAACAAAGAUUACAGAAAGGCACAGCGCCAUGAACCCCCUUCA
This 435-nucleotide long non-coding RNA is filed under the name Fukomys damarensis (Damara mole-rat). RNAcentral's name for it is "lncRNA (ENSFDAG00000032947.1)". The record is from RNAcentral. Lineage: Eukaryota; Metazoa; Chordata; Mammalia; Rodentia; Bathyergidae.